RNAcentral lists this ribosomal RNA (42 nucleotides) under Pratylenchus penetrans. Its description in RNAcentral is "partial 18S ribosomal RNA". The record is from RNAcentral. Lineage: Eukaryota; Metazoa; Nematoda; Chromadorea; Rhabditida; Pratylenchidae.
CGUAACAAGGUAGCUGUAGAUGAACCUGCUGCUGGAUCAUUA